Molecule: transfer RNA, 85 nt
Filed under: bacterium
Lineage: Bacteria
Also listed under: 2 other names
Description: tRNA-Ser
Rfam family: tRNA
About the family: Transfer RNA (tRNA) molecules are approximately 80 nucleotides in length. Their secondary structure includes four short double-helical elements and three loops (D, anti-codon, and T loops).
Source: RNAcentral
GGAGAGUUGGCAGAGCGGUCUAAUGCGGCGGUCUUGAAAACCGUUGUCCUGCAAGGGACCGGGGGUUCGAAUCCCUCACUCUCCG